RNAcentral lists this unclassified non-coding RNA (150 nucleotides) under uncultured Mortierella. RNAcentral's name for it is "sequence contains ITS1". The record is from RNAcentral. Lineage: Eukaryota; Fungi; Mortierellomycota; Mortierellomycetes; Mortierellales; Mortierellaceae.
CAAUGAGUGUUUAAUGGCACUUUAAAUCCAUUACCCACCUUGUGUGCACUGUAAGGAGGGGGACAGAACCAAGUUUUGGGACUGUCCACUUUCAUUAUACAUACACUAUCUUCAUUCUCGUCUACAUCAAUUGAGUAUAAAACUCUAAUA